This 253-nucleotide ribosomal RNA is filed under the name uncultured bacterium. RNAcentral describes it as "partial 16S ribosomal RNA". It matches the Rfam family "Bacterial small subunit ribosomal RNA", at positions 524 to 776 of the family's 1533-position model. The record is from RNAcentral.
UACGGAGGGUGCGAGCGUUACCCGGAUUUACUGGGUGUAAAGGGCGUGUAGGCGGUUUCUCAAGUCCGAUGCUAAAGACCGAGGCUCAACCUCGGGAGUGCGUUGGAUACUGUGAGGCUAGACGGUCGGAGAGGGUAGCGGAAUUUCCGGAGUAGCGGUGAAAUGCGCAGAUACCGGAAGGAACGCCAAUAGCGAAAGCAGCUACCUGGACGAUUUGUGACGCUGAGGCGUGAAAGCGUGGGGAGCAAACCGG